AAGUCGUAACAAGGUUUCCGUAGGUGAACCUGCGGAAGGAUCAUUAUGAAUUUGGAACUUGUGCAGCUUGUUUCGAUUCCCCCUUUUUUUGGGGGGGGAUUGAACGCUCACAAUUCUUUUUUCUGUGAACUGGCGCAUUCUCUUUUUGAGUUUGCUCUUUUUUUGUUUUCUUGUAUUAUUCCACUUUUUUUUUGAGUAAUUCUUGCAAAAGAAUGAAAAAAAAAACAAAAAACCAAGACAACUUUCAGCAAUGGAUCUCUUGGCUCUU
Molecule: unclassified non-coding RNA, 268 nt
Filed under: fungal sp.
Lineage: Eukaryota; Fungi
Description: partial internal transcribed spacer region
Rfam family: Eukaryotic small subunit ribosomal RNA (bases 1-46)
Source: RNAcentral